Molecule: unclassified non-coding RNA, 208 nt
Filed under: Hevea brasiliensis (rubber tree)
Lineage: Eukaryota; Viridiplantae; Streptophyta; Magnoliopsida; Malpighiales; Euphorbiaceae
Source: RNAcentral
GAGAGUAAAAGCAGUGAUGGUUUUGCCUAAAGAAGGAUUAUCUGGAGGUGGAAGUGAAAUAAUAACCACUCCUUUAAUCUGGGGAGAGUAAUCAGAAUCCAUAUCUCCUCCUCUCCCAAAAAAGGGUAUGUAUCAAUCACUCAAAACAAGCAAAGAUCUGUAUAAAAGGAAGGCGAGGGAGCUAUUCUUGGACUCUCCUCAACUGCUA